Molecule: unclassified non-coding RNA, 447 nt
Filed under: Hevea brasiliensis (rubber tree)
Lineage: Eukaryota; Viridiplantae; Streptophyta; Magnoliopsida; Malpighiales; Euphorbiaceae
Source: RNAcentral
GAAUCAUCUACCUAUACUUACCUUCUUGCUGAUUCAUUGCAUCCUGAUAAACCAGCACUGUUGAUUGACCCCGUGGACAGAACAGUGGAUCGUGAUCUUGCACUUGUUAAAGAAUUGGGAUUGAAGCUUAUAUACGCUAUAAACACGCAUGUUCAUGCUGAUCAUGUCACUGGCUCUGGCUUGAUUAAGACUAAGGUGCCUGGCGUGAAAUCAAUCAUUUCUAAAGCAAGUAAUGCAAAAGCUGAUCUUUUUGUUGAACCUGGUGAUAAUAUCUACAUCGGAGAUAUUCAUUUGGAGGUUCGUGCAACUCCCGGUCAUACGUUAGGCUGUAUUACCUAUGUUACUGGAGAUGGAGUCGAUCAGCCUCAGCCAAGGAUGGCAUUUACUGGUGAUGCUCUAUUGAUAAGGGGAUGUGGAAGGACGGACUUUCAGGGUGGAAGUUCAGAC